UUAGAGGGAUAACUAAAAAUAACCUAAGAUUACAUAAAAUAGCUAAAAUACUCAAAUAAUAAAAAUUACAUGAAACAUAAAAGUUACUUCUACUUCGUUACCACUACACAUUGAGUCUUAAAUUGAUGUAAGACGUCCAGUGGGGAUAUUGGAUCAAGUUUUACGUGUACAGGACUUCCAAGCAUUGCUGAGGGAUGUGGGGUCUAAUUUAUUAAUGGGUCUCGGUGUGGUGUUUCUGCUAUAUUGUAGAUAGUUAUGGCCUCCGUUAUCUUCCCUUUCUUCGGGUCUUCCUGUCUCAUUAGGAGUUUCGCAUCUUUCUAUUUUACUGUAACAUCGCUAAAGAGGGCUCGUUGGGCUAGUGCUGUUGUGUUCGCAGACUUAUUUAUAUCUUUUUUAUGUUAUCUAUUUCCUGCCAAAGUGCUGAGUUUUUUGAGUAGAAGGAUCAUUAUUUUAGAUUCACUGAAAAUCACGUAUAAUUUUUUGAAAAUAGUCA
Molecule: long non-coding RNA, 493 nt
Filed under: Androctonus crassicauda
Lineage: Eukaryota; Metazoa; Arthropoda; Arachnida; Scorpiones; Buthidae
Source: RNAcentral